GAUGAACGCUGGCGGCGUGCUUAACACAUGCAAGUCGAACGGUGAAGCAGAGCUUGCUCUGUGGAUCAGUGGCGAACGGGUGAGUAACACGUGAGCAACCUGCCCCUUACUCUGGGAUAAGCGCUGGAAACGGCGUCUAAUACUGGAUAUGAGCUGCGACCGCAUGGUCAGCAGUUGGAAAGAUUUUUCGGUCUGGGAUGGGCUCACGGCCUAUCAGCUUGUUGGUGAGGUAAUGGCUCACCAAGGCGUCGACGGGUAGCCGGCCUGAGAGGGUGACCGGCCACACUGGGACUGAGACACGGCCCAGACUCCUACGGGAGGCAGCAGUGGGGAAUAUUGCACAAUGGGCGAAAGCCUGAUGCAGCAACGCCGCGUGAGGGAUGACGGCCUUCGGGUUGUAAACCUCUUUUAGCAGGGAAGAAGCGAAAGUGACGGUACCUGCAGAAAAAGCGCCGGCUAACUACGUG
RNAcentral lists this ribosomal RNA (467 nucleotides) under uncultured bacterium. Its description in RNAcentral is "partial 16S ribosomal RNA". It matches the Rfam family "Bacterial small subunit ribosomal RNA", at positions 28 to 507 of the family's 1533-position model. The record is from RNAcentral.